This 77-nucleotide transfer RNA is filed under the name Clostridium sp. CAG:433. RNAcentral describes it as "transfer RNA-Val(TAC)". It matches the Rfam family "tRNA". Rfam says of the family: Transfer RNA (tRNA) molecules are approximately 80 nucleotides in length. Their secondary structure includes four short double-helical elements and three loops (D, anti-codon, and T loops). Lineage: Bacteria; Bacillati; Bacillota; Clostridia; Eubacteriales; Clostridiaceae. RNAcentral also lists the same sequence under 2 other names. The record is from RNAcentral.
GGAUUCUUAGCUCAGUUGGUUAGAGCACCUGCCUUACAAGCAGGGGGUCACAGGUUCGAGUCCUGUAGAGUCCACCA